CCCUUCUCAGAAUCACAUCUGGAGAGUUUUCAGUGUUCUUUCAGUCUCAACUACAGGAGGGAGAGUCAAGCAGAGGCCUACCCAUUCCAUUCUUAGCUUGGGCAGUGGCUAGCGAGUGGAAGGCAAUCUGCUACAAGU
Molecule: non-coding RNA, 138 nt
Organism: Ornithorhynchus anatinus (platypus)
Lineage: Eukaryota; Metazoa; Chordata; Mammalia; Monotremata; Ornithorhynchidae
Source: Rfam